RNA transcript from Orcinus orca (killer whale), 7300 nucleotides. It is a transcript of the gene named mutL homolog 3, with no coding region annotated. The transcript is spliced from 8 exons. The record is from RefSeq and is a predicted model, not a curated record. Lineage: Eukaryota; Metazoa; Chordata; Mammalia; Artiodactyla; Delphinidae.
GUUAUCGGCGGGGCAGCUGAGAAGCGCAUGCUCGCGGGAUCGCGCGUGCGUGAGCCUCGCGUGCACGAGCCUUGCGAGCCAACGUGCGCGCGUCCGGCGUCCGAGGCGGUUGGUGUCAGGGAGUUGUUGAGGCGCGAUACGAGGCAAUUAUUUCCAGUCAGAAAAGGGAACCAGUGCCUGGCUUUCUCACCAGCUUUCUACCUGCCAUGAUCAAGUGCUUGUCAGUUGAAGUACAAGCCAGGUUGCGUUCUGGUUUGGCUAUAUGCUCCUUAGGCCAGUGUGUUGAGGAGCUUGCCCUCAAUAGUAUUGAUGCUGAGGCAAAAUGUGUGGCUGUCAGGGUAAACAUGGAAACCUUCCAAGUUCAGGUGAUAGACAAUGGAUUUGGGAUGGGGAGUGAUGAUGUAGACAAGGUGGGAAAUCGUUAUUUCACUAGUAAAUGUGACUCUGUACAGGACUUGGAGAACCCGAGGUUUUAUGGUUUCCGAGGGGAGGCCUUGGCCAGUAUAGCUGACAUGGCCAGUGCUGUGGAAAUUUCAUCCAAGAAAAACAAGUCAAUGAAAACUUUUGUGAAGCUGUUUCAGAAUGGAAAAGUCCUGAAAGCUUGUGAAGCUGACUUGACUCGACCAAGUGCUGGGACAACAGUCACCGUAUAUAACCUAUUUUAUCAGUUACCUGUAAGGAGGAAAUGCAUGGAUCCUAGACUGGAGUUUGAGAAGGUUAGGCAGAGGAUAGAAGCUCUCUCACUCAUGCACCCUUCCAUUUCUUUCUCUUUGAGAAAUGAUGUUUCUGGUUCCAUGGUUCUUCAGCUCCCUAAAACCAAAGACAUAUGUUCCCGAUUUUGUCAAAUCUAUGGACUGGGUAAGUCCCAAAAGUUAAGAGAAAUAGAUUUUAAAUAUAAGGAGUUUGAGCUUAGUGGCUAUAUCAGCUCUGAAGCACAUUAUAAUAAGAAUAUGCAGUUUUUGUUUGUGAACAAGAGGCUAGUUUUAAGGACAAAGUUGCAUAAACUCAUUGACUUUUUAUUAAGGAAAGAAAGCAUUAUAUGCAAGCCAAAGAACGGCUCUGCCAGUAGGCAAACGAAUUCAAGUCCUCGGCCUCGGUCUAGCCCAGAACUCCAUGGUAUAUAUGUAAUCAACAUGCAGUGCCACUUCUGUGAGUAUGACGUGUGCCUGGAGCCAGCAAAAACUCUGAUUGAGUUUCAGAACUGGGAUACUGUUUUGGUUUGUAUUCAGGAAGGAGUAAAAAUGUUUUUAAAGAAAGAAAAAUUAUUUGUGGAAUUAUCAAGUGAAGACCUUAAGGAAUUUAGUGAAGAAAAUGAGUUUAGUUUAUUUAGUGCCACUCUUCAGAAGCAAGUGUCCUCUGAUGAGAAGUGUGACCAGGUCAAUUUCCAAGAAGCAUGUAAUAAUAUUUUGGAUUCCUGUGAAAUGUUUAAUUUGCAAUCAAAAGCUGUGAAGAGAAAAGCUCCUGUAGAAAACAUAAGCACACAGAAUUCUAGGGAUUCGGAAGCUAUCAGAAAAAAGACAAAUGAUUCAUUUUUGUAUACUUACAAAUCCGAUGGGCCAGCGCAUAGUAAAAUGGAGUCAUCUUUACAAAACGAAGAUAGCGCUUGCUCAGAGUCAAGGAUCUUAGAACAAGAGACAGCUGAAGCAUCAGAAUCAGGAGCAAAUGAGAAACAUAAAAAGUCUUGCUUGGAACUUAACUCUUCAGAAAAUCCAUGUGGAGCCAGUUCAGAAAUGUCUGCAAGCCCUUUUCAGACACUUUAUCACUUUGAGGGGAGUGGAGAAGGUCUAGAAAUACAGAAAGUAAGUACUACUGCUAAUGGCAUGGCUGCCAACAUCCUGAAAAAUAAUAGAAUUCAGAAUCAACCAGAGAGAUUUAAAGAUGCUACUGAAAUGGGAUGCCAACCUCUGUCUGUUGAGACAACAUUAUCGGGAGCACAGGGUGCUCAGAGAGAAGAGAAAAGAAAAGAAGAACCUAGUAAUUGUGGAAGAAUAAAUGUUUUUAGUUAUGGGCAAGUUAAAUUAUGUUCCACUGGCUUCAUAACUCAUGUGGUACAAAAUGAGCAAACUAAAUCAACUGAAACAGAACAUUUAUUUAACAAUUAUGUUCAACCUGGUUUUGUGAGUGCCAAAGAAACAUUUGGAAAUAGAACAUGCCAUUCAUUUGAGACUCCAAACACCAAAGAUUUAACCACCACUUUAAGUAAAGAAUUUGCUCAACUGCCCAACAAAAGAUUGUGCAAAACAAAUAUGAGUUAUGGGCUAGAGAACAAACCUAUAGCAACUUAUAAAAAUUUUGCUAUUUUUCAGGAAAGUAGUAAAACAUCGUACACAGGUUGCUCACUACCUGACACAUCCUCUUUCACUUGGGGUAGACAUAGUUCAAAUGGUAGUAAGAAAACAGGUAAGUUGAUUGGUUCUGCCAAACCCAUAGCUCAUAAGAAGCUAAGCUUAAGUUCACAACUAGGAUCUUUAGAGAAGUUUAAGAGGCAAUAUGGGAAGGUUAAAAAUCCUCCGAAUACAGAAGUGGAGGAAAGUAUCACUUCAGAAAUCACUACCGAUCUCAGUCCUCAGGUUGAACCUGACAUUCUGUGGAAAGACAAAAACCACUUAGACAACUCUGGUAUUUGUAAAAUCACUACUAUGAAACAUGAUGAUUCAAAUAGUAGUUGUCAACCAGUAAGUCACAUGUUUUAUUCAGAAAAGUUACCAUUCUCCAAGGAAGACAGUUGUUUGGAAGAACAGAUGCCUUGCUUAAGAGAAAGCCCUAUACCUCUACAGGAGUUAUCUCAUUUUAACAGAAAGCCUUUGGAUGUUGAGAAGUCACCUGAAUCACUAGCCUUUAAAUUAUCCAGAUUGAAAGGCUCCGAAAGAGAGACCCAAACAAUGGAGAUGACGAGUCAUUUUAAUGAACUUUCACAAUCAGAUUCCAGUAGGAAAGACAGUGACUUGUCCAGUGGGUUAACCCUAGAUUCUUGUAAGUUAUUUAAAAAUGAGCAUAAAAAAACAGAAAGUGGCGACAUCCCAGUGUCGGACUCUGUCACACAGGGUAAUCCCUUCAAUAAAGACAGUGAAACACAUGCUAACCGCAAUACAACAGAGAACGCUGUGAUGUCAGAAACUCCUUUAGUACUGCCCUAUGAUCAUUCUACAGUUAUCGGUAAGGAUUCAGAUGUUCUUAUAGCUUCAGAACAACAGAUUGGAAGUCCUAACUCUCCGAGUAGAAUGUUAGUGAGUCACGGAGAAGAUUCCACAGCUGGCCAAAAUGGAACUUGUUGUCAGAGUGAGGAAUCUAUAGCAAGAACUUGUUCUGAAAAUGAAGAGUCCAACACAUGUUCUUUGGAUUGGCAGCAGCAUUUUGAUGUAGCCCUGGGAAGAAUGGUUUACGUCAACAAGCUAACAGGACUUAGCACAUUCACUGCUCCUGCUGAGGACGUUCGGGCUGCUUGUACUAAAGACCUGACAACUAUGGCUGUGGAUGUUCUACUUGAGAAUGGAUCUCAGUACAGGUGUCAUCCUUUUAGAAGCGACCUUGUUCUUCCUUUCCUUCCUAGAGCCCGGGAAGAGAGGACUGUGAUGAGACAGAAUAACAGAGCUACUGGGGAUGGUGCUGUUGGUCCCGAAUCGCUUCAGUCUUUGUUCUCAGAAUGGGACAACCCAGUAUUUGCCCGUUAUCCAGAGGUUGCUGUUGACGUUAGCAGCGGCCAGGCUGAGAGCCUAGCAGUUAAAAUUCACAACAUCUUGUAUCCUUAUCGUUUCACCAAAGAAAUGAUUCACUCCAUGCAGGUUCUCCAGCAAGUGGAUAACAAGUUUAUUGCCUGUGUAAUGAGCACUAGGACUGAAGAGAAUGGUGAGGCAGCGGCACAUGUCACAUCACAUUUGCAUUUUGAAAAUACUGCUCUGGCUGCUGUGUGGAGCCUGGAGCGCGUGUCGAGAUGGAGUCCCAGUAACUGCAGAGAGACUGUUAGGAGGAUGUUGCAAUAUCUAAGAAAUGAUGGUUAGCUGGGAUCAGGGUGACCUAGAGAGAAAGAUAUUUAGGAGAUAAAGUCAGCAGGACUUGGUGAUGGAUUGGAUAUGCGGAAGGUAUAUCAAAGAUGACUCCUGGUUUUCUGACCUAUGUAACUGAGUGGAUGAUGUUGCAGGACGACGAGGUUGGAGAAGAAGCAGGCAAGAAGGGUGAAAAUCAUGAGUUCAGUCUGAAAUCCCUUUGAAAUGUUCAAGAAUGUGUCAGGAAUAUUACAGGUCUAGGAUGCGAGAAGCAUUCUGACAUGGAGAUCUAAAUCUGAGCUGUCAGCAUAAAGUCAGUCACUGAAGUCAUGUGUAUAAAUUUUAUCACCUAGAAGAAGAAUGAAGAGUGAGGAGGGAAGAGAGAUUCUGAAUCUAGAGUAAUUCCGCCAUUUAAUAGCUGGGUAGAAAAGGGUGAACCAGCAAGAGAGGUUAUGAAACAACAGAAAUAGGAAGAAAACAAGCAAAGGUUGUGUUACAAAGCCAAGACUUUGUACUAAGUGCUGCCGAGAGGUUAAGAUGAGGACCAAAAUUAUCUGUUAGGUUUCCAGACAGUGGAGGUCAGGGACUUCAGAUGACAGCUGUUUCAGAGAAGACAUAGGACAGGAGAGACUCCAAAAUCUGUGACAUGGAAGAGGGACUAAGGAGAGUGAGGGUGCGAGGCUUUUUUUUUAACUGGGAGACUCUCGAGCCAUUUACAAGGAAUGCUUGAUCCUGUCAGGCUCUGGAAAAGGCCUGAGUGGCUGAGUCCUGAGCACCACUCGAGGAGCUGGCUCCCGAUGGGUAGACCUGCAGGCGAGAGCUUCUAAAGUGUGAAAGCAGUUCAUUCUCUUUGUACUUCAAAAUAUUCUUUUUUAUCUUGUUUACAGUAUAAAUUUAUUUAGUAAACGUCACCACAGAUCAAAGGUAAAGUAACCAAAAGUUUUGUCGUAAUUAUCAUAAAUAUAGAAUUAGUGAAGGUCAAAUUCUAGUAGUCUUACUACUUCUAGAAAAUGAAUAGAUUGUUUUCUAAAGUUUUGAUUACCUGGAAUUCUUUGUUGUUUAACACCAAAAUCUCUACUAAUGGCACCUGAGACGGGUGUAGCCACAAAAUCUCCAGACAGUUAAAUUUCUCUUGAGAUUCUGGAUUGUUACGGUAUUGGUUAGCUGCCAUCAAGGAGUACUUUUAUAUAAAGAAUUUUUCGAAAUCAAAAUGUAAGUAUUUUUAUUGUUGCUCACAAAUACCAAAAGCAACCUAUUCCUAUAAUUGAGUUACUUUUAUUUUAAUAUUUGCACAUAUUUUUAAUGGAUAAAUAUACUAUUGUUUUACAUUAUUGUGAAAUUAAUGCCAUAUAAUGGCAUUUUUUAUUGCAUGUUUCCACCUAUAAUAAAAUACAGUUGUUCAGUUAUGAUCCUCUAAAGAAUAAGGAUUCAUUCAUUUAUUCUGUAAAUAUUUACUGAGUGCCUGUUAUGUGCCUAGUGCUAUUAUACAUGCCAGGAAUAUAACAGACAAAAAUCCUUGCCCUGAUGAAGAUUCUAUUCUGUUAUUUUGGAAUAUCAAAAAUACAGCUCUGACAUGAGUAAAUUACCUUCAUAUAUUCUGCUUCAUUCAAUGAAUGGAAAAUACCAUGAACAUUUUGUAGACUAUAAAUCAUUCCUCCAGUGUCAGGUGCAGGAUUGAUUUUGUAGGGUCCCUGACUCUUGGUGAUUCACAUUGGCUCAGGUUUUGAGUUUGAGGUUACUCCCUCAUAAUUUAUUAUUUAUUCCAUUGUUCUGCCCAAUACAGGAUGUUCAGUAUUCAUCACAACCAGCUGCAACUCCUCCUAUCCUCAAAGGAGUUUAAAAUUCAACAUUUUGGGGCCUGUUCUGUGGUUGAACAUGCUGUCAGAAAAAUCAUAAUCUUUUUAUUUUUCAAGUCAGUAGCUCUUACGCCAUGAAUUUGAUGGUGUCAUACAAACAAUUUUUUUAAUCUUUAGUAGAAAUAGGAAAAACAGGCAUUAUCUAGUUUGAUCAAAUUCAAGAGGAGAACUUUUAUUUCAAUAUAAUCAGUAACAAUAAACCUCAACCCUUUGGCCAAAAGUAAUAAAAUUACAAGCUAAAAAGAUGUACUAAUGUAAUAGAGAAUCAGUCCUCCUGUCAGUGAGAAAGGGAUUUAUUUCCCUGUAGGUUUGGCUUUGGGGUCAGGACAUUCUGCUUCUCUCUUGCACCUGAGAGUGUAAAGCCUUGCUACUCAAAAUCAAGGUCUGUAAAUAACAUCACCUGGGAGUUUGUUAGACUUGCACAAUCUUGUGUCCCACCCCUAACCUACUGAAUCAGAAUCUGCAUCUUAAUAAGAUCCCCAGGUGAUUUGUCUGCUGUUCAAAGUUUGCAAAGCCUGAGUCUAAAGCUAGGCAAACUGUGGCCUGGGGGCCGGAUCCAGCCAUAACCUGUUUUUGUACAGCCAGGGAGAUAAGAAUGGUUUUUACUUUUUUUUUUUAAUUGACGUGUAGUUAAUUUACUGUGUUACAUUAGUUUCAGGUAUACUACACUUUUAAAUAGUAAAAAAAGAGCAAAGGAAGAGUUAUAUUUUUCGACACAUUAAAAUUAUAUGAAAUUAAUAUUUCAGUGUCUGUAAAAAGUUUAUUGGAACACAGCUACAAUAUUCACAUGUCUAUGGCGGCUUUGGUUCAGAAUGAAUAUUUGAGUAGUUGUGACAGAAACCAUGUGUCCCAAAAGCCUAAAAUAUUUACUGUGUGGCAUUUCACAGAAAAAUCUUGCUGACCUGUGAUCUGAAGUGUAGUAGAAUGCUUCAUGGGUUCUGGGGCAGCUUGCCAAUCAAGGUCAGCUGAUUAUAAAAUGUGUGGUUUAAUGAUCCUUCAUUGUAUCAAAUUUGAAUUAAUAAAGCAAAAUCAGUAUUUAAACAUUAAGAAUGUAGGGCUUUCACCAUGUUUUAGAAAUGAAAUACUAAUGAACUAAAGAGUUUUUCAUCAGGGAUACAUUUGUUUUCGUUUUUCCCAUAACUUUAACUUUGUAGGAAAUAAAAGAUACAGUUGUUAUUGCUCAGUUUGUAUGCUUCUCUUAUGCUCACGUUGUUAAAUAGUUUGAAUUAAGCUUUUUCUCCCUCAACGCAACAUGAUUAUUUUAAUCUUGACCUGAGAAUUUGAAAGCCAGUGGUGCUUGCUGGUCUUCUAGGUGGAAACCUGCUAGUCUUGGUGGACCAGCAUGCUGCCCAUGAGCGCAUCCGACUGGAGCAGCUGACCAUUGGUUCCUAUGAGAAGCAACAGCCACAAGGCUCUGGUCGAAAAAAAUUACUGUCUUCCACUAUAAGUCCUCCACUAGAG